This 663-nucleotide ribosomal RNA is filed under the name Escherichia coli. RNAcentral's name for it is "partial 23S ribosomal RNA". It matches the Rfam family "Bacterial large subunit ribosomal RNA", at positions 1 to 706 of the family's 2925-position model. Lineage: Bacteria; Pseudomonadati; Pseudomonadota; Gammaproteobacteria; Enterobacterales; Enterobacteriaceae. The record is from RNAcentral.
GGUUAAGCGACUAAGCGUACACGGUGGAUGCCCUGGCAGUCAGAGGCGAUGAAGGACGUGCUAAUCUGCGAUAAGCGUCGGUAAGGUGAUAUGAACCGUUAUAACCGGCGAUUUCCGAAUGGGGAAACCCAGUGUGUUUCGACACACUAUCAUUAACUGAAUCCAUAGGUUAAUGAGGCGAACCGGGGGAACUGAAACAUCUAAGUACCCCGAGGAAAAGAAAUCAACCGAGAUUCCCCCAGUAGCGGCGAGCGAACGGGGAGCAGCCCAGAGCCUGAAUCAGUGUGUGUGUUAGUGGAAGCGUCUGGAAAGGCGCGCGAUACAGGGUGACAGCCCCGUACACAAAAAUGCACAUGCUGUGAGCUCGAUGAGUAGGGCGGGACACGUGGUAUCCUGUCUGAAUAUGGGGGGACCAUCCUCCAAGGCUAAAUACUCCUGACUGACCGAUAGUGAACCAGUACCGUGAGGGAAAGGCGAAAAGAACCCCGGCGAGGGGAGUGAAAAAGAACCUGAAACCGUGUACGUACAAGCAGUGGGAGCCUCUUUUAUGGGGUGACUGCGUACCUUUUGUAUAAUGGGUCAGCGACUUAUAUUCUGUAGCAAGGUUAACCGAAUAGGGGAGCCGAAGGGAAACCGAGUCUUAACUGGGCGUUAAGUUGCAGG